RNAcentral lists this ribosomal RNA (301 nucleotides) under uncultured bacterium. Its description in RNAcentral is "partial 16S ribosomal RNA". It matches the Rfam family "Bacterial small subunit ribosomal RNA", at positions 509 to 809 of the family's 1533-position model. The record is from RNAcentral.
CAGUCGCCGCGGGAAUACGGAGGGUGCAAGCGUUAAUCGGAAUUACUGGGCGUAAAGCGCACGCAGGCGGUCUGACAAGUCAGAUGUGAAAUCCCCGGGCUUAACCUGGGAACUGCAUUUGAAACUGUCAGGCUGGAGUCUUGUAGAGGGGGGUGGAAUUCCAGGUGUAGCGGUGAAAUGCGUAGAGAUCUGGAGGAAUACCGGUGGCGAAGGCGGCCCCCUGGACAAAGACUGACGCUCAGGUGCGAAAGCGUGGGGAGCAAACAGGAUUAGAUACCCGGGUAGUCCCUGUCUCUUAUAU